RNAcentral lists this long non-coding RNA (229 nucleotides) under Setaria italica (foxtail millet). RNAcentral's name for it is "long non-coding RNA (SITA_LNC004555)". Lineage: Eukaryota; Viridiplantae; Streptophyta; Magnoliopsida; Poales; Poaceae. The record is from RNAcentral.
ACAAGGCUACUCCUGUGAGCCUCUUCAGAUAUGUAAUGUUGAGUACACUUAGGAUGCGACCCCUUUUUUGCGGAGUGCAAGUACUCUGAUAUUAGGGUAGUCAAACUCUUCAGGCGAGUAGACUCUUCAGAACUUCAUCAUCUGGAGCUUACCUUUGCAACCUCUCUGGGUUGUUUGGGUGUUGUGCUCUGAAGACCUGGAACUGCAAACUUGUUUCAUUACAAGCCGC